AGCAGCUGUUUAUGAUGAGUGCUUGCUUGGAGCCUUGAAUGUUGUAAAACUAAAGCCACAGUAACCUGGAGAUUUUACAGAACUAAAAGGACGUGCACUGGAAGGGCGUAGAAGGGCUUUAAUUGGUGUAUGGGAACCCCUGAUCUUCCUAUCCUGGAAUUUUCUUCAAGCAACUUCAACACUGGUGGCUUGCUUGAUGCAUGGAACUUUGGGAAUUAUUAUAUUCUGAAGACAUAUGUUAAAUUCUGUUGGGAUGUUGCAUUGUUUUUGCAAUUUUUGUUACCUGUUUUAAACUAUAAUUGUGUUUGCAUUAUUCAUUUACAAAGUAGCCUCAUAGAACUCAAGAGGCUAGUACACAUAGUCUGGGGGUGAUCCUAGAUCCAGCUGUGGCACUGGAAGUGAAGAUGCCCUCGGUAGUUAGGAGUGCCUUCUACCAGCUUUGGCUGUAAGACAGCAGUGGCUAUUCCUGAAUCAGGAUAACUUGACCACAGUUGUCCAUGCAUUGGUAACUCCAAAGUUGGAUUGCUGAGGUAUGGAGGCUACAGCUUGGUUGGUCAGGAGUCUGCAGCUUGGUUGCCUGUAGGGGCAAACUACCACUAGCAUAUUAACACAUCGUUUGCAGGAUUUGCAUUGGCUGCCAAUCUGGUACUGGAUCAAGUUUAAAGUUUUGGUACUAACAUAUAAGGACCAGCUUACUUGAGAGAUUACCUUGUGGUCUGAAAGAGAAUUUUUCCUUGAAGUUCCAAAGAUAUCAGAAGUCCACUCCACAGCAACUCGGAGCAGGACUUUGAGUGUGGCUGCCGCUGUUCUGUGAAAUAGCAUUCCUGUCGAAAUACAAAAGGCGACUACAACUGAAGACAUUUUUGUUUCAUCAAGCUUUAGGUGUUCAUUUGUAUUAUUUUAAAACCUAUUUUCAGUUUUUUUAGAUACUAUUUUUUAAAAAAACUUUUAACAGGUUUUUUUUGGUGUAUAAAUCACCUUGGGACAGACAGACAGACAGACAGAUAGAUAGAUAGAUAGAUAGAUAGAUAGAUAGAUAGAUAGAUAGAUAGAUGAGUAUAUAUGUAUAUGAAGGAAUGAAUGUUAAUUUGGGACCAGAACCUCACUAGGAAUGCAAAUUGACUUAGAACAGAGUGGGGCCUUUUUCAGGCCAAGGUCUGCAUUUCCUCAUGGGCAACCUUUCGAGGGCUGCAUAGCAAUGGUAUGGCAAUUGCGAGAUGUAAAAGUGAGCAGACCAACUUACCUUUGUACAGGUUACAUUCCAGCCAGGCAAAAGUCAGAAGUUUCUGUGCUCUCUCUCUCUCUCUCUCUCUCUCUCUCUCUCUCUCUCUCACACACACACACACACACACACACACCCCUCCAUCUUUCCAGGCAAGCAUGAGGCGUUAUCAUAGUUCAAGGGUGCAUCCUAGCCAGGCAAAAGCAUUCAAGGAAGUGUGCCCUGCGGGAGGGGAUGUGUUCUGGGAGAGUCCUGCGGGCCAAAUAGAGAAAGCCGGAUUUGGCCCCUGAGCUGGAGGUUCUCUUCAUGCCUGAAUUAGAAGAUGAGGUGGUGUCAGAGUUUAAAUCAACACUUGUUUUUAUUUGGGUAGCUUCCCAGUGAAGUCUGUGGAAGCUUCCCAGAUGAUAAAGGAAAAUCUUUAGGCGUUGCCCAAUGUUUAUGAUAGUUUAUGUUGCUGAGAUUGAGGAAGGAAGGCAAGAGAUUCGAUACUUUCAAACAGCGUUCCCUUCAAUUACUCUUUUUAAGAAAUGCUGCUGUGAUCCUUACAUUGCUGAAACUAUUUAAAUGCCUAAAUAGGCCACAUUUUAAAGAUAGUUUCUGUCAAACUGGUUUAUCAAAGCAUUUUCAUCUUCAGCUCAGUGCCUUGGAUAUGAUAUCUUUGUUGUCUCUGUUGCCAUAACACAAAUAAAUGUGGAUAUAUGAAAGAAGAGAGAUUAUCCAAAUCCUUGUAUUGAUAGUGUUGCACUAUAUACUUUUGUGGUUGAGUUCUCCCUUUGCCAUAAUGGUUCUGGACUUUUAUUCCUAUUUAUGGAGACCCUGGUGAGAAAUGAACUUUGCAAUGAGGAAAAUGUGAUGGUAUUAAUAGAGCUGUCUGCAUACUGAUACAUUGCAUUUGGACUGGUCUCUUCUGGCAAGUGGCUUCUCUGCAAACAGUAGCAAUCAGGGGGAGGACUUGAGCUCCCAGACCACAUCCACCGUGCCUAAAUUAUUGGUGCAAGAAUGUGGAUGGUGUAAGAAGUACAGGAUGGCUCUAUGAAUAUAUUCAGAAAGCCGUUAAUAGUUAUUCCCCACUUUAUUAGCUGAAUUGAUUCAUAUCUGUCCAUAUAUUUAUCGAGAGAGCAUAUGUAUCUCCCUGCUCUUUGAGAACAAGCACAAAUCCCUUUUGAUGAUUCCACUAUUCAUCAGGUUGGUGGCUACUGUGGAGUCACCUUGUCUAACAAACAGCCCACAGAUUAUGGAAUCAACCACCUGGUGCCUGCCAAGGUGUGCUAGAUACAGGAUCUUAGCCCUUUCAAAGGGGCUGUAAAGACUUGUCUUUUUUGACAAUCCUUCUCUAGUUAAUGUGGUUUCUAUUUUAUUGAGUUUUAUUGGCUGCUGUAUAGUUUCUCCAAUAUCAUUUUAUCUGCUAGGUUAUUGAUGUUCUUGAAUUGUAGCUUGUGGUUUUGACUGAUGUAACCUCUCUUGGGAAUCACUGAAUUGAAAUGCAAGUUAUAAUUUUUCUAAAUAAAUAAAAUUGUUCUAGGGGGUGGAGGGGGUUCUGUAAUAUUCACA
Molecule: long non-coding RNA, 2773 nt
Organism: Rhineura floridana
Lineage: Eukaryota; Metazoa; Chordata; Lepidosauria; Squamata; Rhineuridae
Exons: 3
Source: RefSeq, a predicted model, not a curated record